CUUAUCUUUAUGGAGGGCAAAUAAGGAUUUAAAAAAUCUUUUAAAAGGGAGGAAUGGAAAGACCACAAGUGGAAAACAGACUUUAGAGAUAUCUCUCCAAGUCACAGAAGGAAAGCAGCCCUCCCUCCUUACUGAAAGUCUGGAGAAUUGAGAGUGGAAGUGAAGGGAAGAGAAUUGAGUGUGUAAGUAGAUGAGAGGUUAUGUGUCUUGGAGCCAGGAGACUCUGGUUCCAAGAAAAGACGUCUGCACUCCAUCCCCCUGAUUGUUUAUUUUUUAAUUGUCAGACAAAGGACUGGUGGACAUAUGAAUUCUGUUAUGGACGCCACAUCCAGCAAUACCACAUGGAAGAUUCAGAGAUCAAAGGUGAAGUCCUCUAUCUCGGCUACUACCAAUCAGCCUUCGACUGGGAUGAUGAAACAGCCAAGGUGGCAAGAGUGUGGGAUUCGGGAAGAAAGGGUUCUGGCCACCGGCUGAGAGCCCUGACAAGAAGGGGAGGGUCAAGAUUAGCUGAUCUGUUUCUUGGGGCUUGGUGGCCAUUAGGACAAAGUUUCCUGGGGCCUGGGGGCACAGGCCAUUCUUUUGUCUCUUUGGGGACGCAGUGCCAUCCUUCCUCUUUGCUAUCUUUCUCAUGUCCCCCAUUCCUGCCUCAUGUCUUCUCCAGGCCUCCAAGCAGCAUCGUCUUAAACGCUACCACAGCCAGACCUAUGGCAAUGGGUCCAAGUGCGACCUUAAUGGGAGGCCCCGGGAGGCCGAGGUUCGGUUCCUCUGUGACGAGGGUGCAGGUAUCUCUGGGGACUACAUCGAUCGUGUGGACGAGCCCUUGUCCUGCUCUUAUGUGCUGACCAUUCGCACUCCUCGGCUCUGCCCCCACCCUCUCCUCCGGCCCCCACCCAGUGCUGCACCGCAGGCCAUCCUCUGUCACCCUUCCCUACAGCCUGAGGAGUACAUGGCCUACGUUCAGAGGCAAGCCGGUGAGUAAUUAGAGAAGGAGGAGAAGACGGGGGAGAUACGGGGGCAGGGGGUGGCAAAAGAUCAAGUAUUGAAUAGCUGGAGGAAUGUGUUCCUGGCCUGCUUGCAUGCUGUUUCUCAGUAGACUCAAAGCAGUAUGGAGAGAAAAUCAUAGAGGAGCUGCACGAUCUAGGCCCCCAAGUGUGGAGUGAGACCAAGUCUGGGGUGGCACCCCAAAAGAUGGCAGGUGCGAGCCCGACCAAGGAUGACAGUAAGGACUCAGAUUUCUGGAAGAUGCUUAAUGAGCCAGAGGACCAGGCCCCAGGAGGGGAGGAGGUGCCGGCUGAGGAGCAGGACCCAAGCCCUGAGGCAGCAGAUUCAGCUUCUGGUGCUCCCAAUGAUUUUCAGAACAACGUGCAGGUCAAAGUCAUUCGAAGCCCUGCGGAUUUGAUUCGAUUCAUAGAGGAGCUGAAAGGUGGAACAAAAAAGGGGAAGCCAAAUAUAGGCCAAGAGCAGCCUGUGGAUGAUGCUGCAGAAGUCCCUCAGAGGGAACCAGAGAAGGAAAGGGGUGAUCCAGAACGGCAGAGAGAGAUGGAAGAAGAGGAGGAUGAGGAUGAGGAUGAGGAUGAAGAUGAGGAUGAACGGCAGUUACUGGGAGAAUUUGAGAAGGAACUGGAAGGGAUCCUGCUUCCGUCAGACCGAGACCGGCUCCGUUCGGAGGUGAAGGCUGGCAUGGAGCGGGAACUGGAGAACAUCAUCCAGGAGACAGAGAAAGAGCUGGACCCAGAUGGGCUGAAGAAGGAGUCAGAGCGGGAUCGGGCAAUGCUGGCUCUCACAUCCACUCUCAACAAACUCAUCAAAAGACUGGAGGAAAAACAGAGUCCAGAGCUGGUGAAAAAGCACAAGAAAAAGAGGGUUGUCCCCAAAAAGCCUCCCCCAUCACCCCAACCUACAGGUGAGAGCAGUCAGACAAGAAAGAGUAGCCCAGUCUGUUGUUUUCAUCCCUCAGCUGGUCCUGUUCCCAGAGGGGACCCUGUUCCUUCCCUUCUGAGGGUGCUCAUUCUCUCCCCACUUUCUGGAACACUGUCCUCACUUGCACCUGCUUCCCAACACCGUCAUCCCUUUGCGUGCUUACCUCCUAUUCAUCCCUCUGGGAAGCAGCUUUUAGAGCAUAUCUGCUGGUUUUCUGGUUUGCUCCUGUACACCCAGUGCCUAGCACUCUGCCUGGCACACAAUGGAUGAUCAGUAGCUAGUAAUUGAAUGCUUGCGAGUCUAUAUGCUGAAAACCACUUUAGGACUUUGCACCAAGAGAGGCCCCAGCUGUCAGGGCAUGAAUAGGAGAGCCCAGCUGCACAUGAGCCAAUAGCCUGGAUAGACUUUAAAUUAUUUCUUCUUCUUGUAUCCCCUUGUGUCCAUUUCAUAGUGUCCUAUGGGUGUGGACAUCAGAUAUUCUAAAUGGAAUGUUCCAGUUUCAAACCUUCCAUUCCCACUCUCUCUAUAAACAUUGAAAUGUCUUUAAAGUCCCAACAUAUGGAGGAGGAGACCACACUUUUCCAACCUGCUUCUUCAAACAGAACUUUGUUGGUGCAGGUGGCCUGAUUUUGGCUUUAGAAAACAUUUGUUUUCCUAUAGGUGAUGGGCAGAAUUAUUGGGUAGGGCGGGAAGAUGGAAGGCUGCAAUUGGUGGAGGGAGCUCUACAGGCUGAACUGGGAGGGGCGGGGCACACAUUUUUUUGAGCCCUGGCUCAUAUACAUGUUGAGAUGGAAGAGCUGCCAAAGCCAACUGAUGUUUUAGGGGGAGAUGACCCCCACACCCCUAACCCUGGAGUCACACCUCUGCUUUGUGUUUCCCUGUGUGUCUCCCCCUCUAAGAGGAGGAUCCUGAGCACAGAGUCCGGGUCCGGGUCACCAAGCUCCGUCUCGGAGGCCCUAAUCAGGAUCUGACUGUCCUCGAGAUGAAACGGGAAAACCCACAGCUGAAACAAAUCGAGGGGCUGGUGAAGGAGCUGCUGGAGAGGGAGGGACUCACAGCUGCAGGGAAAAUUGAGAUCAAAAUUGUCCGCCCAUGGGCUGAAGGGACUGAAGAGGGUGCACGUUGGCUGACUGAUGAGGACACGAGAAACCUCAAGGAGAUCUUCUUCAAUAUCUUGGUGCCGGGAGCUGAAGAGGCCCAGAAGGAACGCCAGCGGCAGAAAGAGCUGGAGAGCAAUUACCGCCGGGUGUGGGGCUCUCCAGGUGGGGAGGGCACAGGGGACCUGGACGAAUUUGACUUCUGAGACCAACACUACACUUGACCCUUCACGGAAUCCAGACUCUUCCUGGACUGGCUUGCCUCCUCCCCACCUCCCCACCCUGGAACCCCUGAGGGCCAAACAGCAGAGUGGAGCUGAGCUGUGGACCUCUCGGGCAACUCUGUGGGUGUGGGGGCCCUGGGUGAAUGCUGCUGCCCCUGCUGGCAGCCACCUUGAGACCUCACCGGGCCUGUGAUAUUUGCUCUCCUGAACUCUCACUCAAUCCUCUUCCUCUCCUCUGUGGCUUUUCCUGUUAUUGUCCCCUAAUGAUAGGAUAUUCCCUGCUGCCUACCUGGAGAUUCAGUAGGAUCUUUUGAGUGGAGGUGGGUAGAGAGAGCAAGGAGGGCAGGACACUUAGCAGGCACUGAGCAAGCAGGCCCCCACCUGCCCUUAGUGAUGUUUGGAGUCGCUUUACCCUCUUCUAUUGAAUUGCCUUGGGAUUUCCUUCUCCCUUUCCCUGCCCACCCUGUCCCCUACAAUUUGUGCUUCUGAGUUGAGGAGCCUUCACCUCUGUUGCUGAGGAAAUGGUAGAAUGCUGCCCAUCACCUCCAGCACAAUCCCAGUGAAAAAGGUGUGAAGCACCCACCAUGUUCUUGAACAAUCAGGUUUCUAAAUAAACAACUGGACCAUCAA
Molecule: small RNA, 3871 nt
Filed under: Pan troglodytes (chimpanzee)
Lineage: Eukaryota; Metazoa; Chordata; Mammalia; Primates; Hominidae
Description: retained intron
Source: RNAcentral